GAUGAACGCUGGCGGCGUGCCUAAUACAUGCAAGUCGAGCGAACAGAUGAGGAGCUUGCUCCUCUGACGUUAGCGGCGGACGGGUGAGUAACACGUGGAUAACCUACCUAUAAGACUGGGAUAACUUCGGGAAACCGGAGCUAAUACCGGAUAAUAUAUUGAACCGCAUGGUUCAAUAGUGAAAGACGGUUUUGCUGUCACUUAUAGAUGGAUCCGCGCCGCAUUAGCUAGUUGGUAAGGUAAAGGCUUACCAAGGCGACGAUGCGUAGCCGACCUGAGAGGGUGAUCGGCCACACUGGAACUGAGACACGGUCCAGACUCCUACGGGAGGCAGCAGUAGGGAAUCUUCCGCAAUGGGCGAAAGCUUGACGGAGCAACGCCGCGUGAGUGAUGAAGGUCUUCGGAUCGUAAAACUCUGUUAUUAGGGAAGAACAAAUGUGUAAGUAACUAUGCACGUCUUGACGGUACCUAAUCAGAAAGCCACGGCUAACUACGUG
This 497-nucleotide ribosomal RNA is filed under the name uncultured bacterium. RNAcentral's name for it is "partial 16S ribosomal RNA". It matches the Rfam family "Bacterial small subunit ribosomal RNA", at positions 28 to 507 of the family's 1533-position model. The record is from RNAcentral.